This 2718-nucleotide long non-coding RNA is filed under the name Homo sapiens (human). Its description in RNAcentral is "HSALNT0388869". The record is from RNAcentral. Lineage: Eukaryota; Metazoa; Chordata; Mammalia; Primates; Hominidae.
AGAGGCAGAAAUGGAGGUUGGGUCAGGCCUGGCUCAGACCCUAGGCUCUGUCACUGACUGGCUGUGUGGGUCCAGGAAAGUCCUUGUCCUCUCUGGGCCUCAGUUUCCUCUGAAGAAUGGGAGUGAUAAGCUAUGCCCCAUCUCCUUCACCAAAAGGAAGCAAGACCUGAUGGAGCUGCUGGGUAACUGGAGAUGCCUCCUGCUGGCUCCUUUCUGGGGUCCCUGCCUAGCCCUGUCCUCUCCUCUUACUUUCUGCCCUGGCUGAGUAGGCUGUGGCCAUGUGGUUACUGCCUUCUCUGGGCAUAGCUGAUUGCUUCAUAUGGCCUGACCUAAGGCUGCAUGUCCAAAGUCUGGUUGGUGGCCAGUCUAACUCACUUUUGAGAACCUGCACUAAAAGAGGUAGGGGGUGGGAAAAACUGGGCAGGCCAGCGGAGGUGGGGAGUGGCAGCUCUGAGACCUGAAGCCUCAGAACCAGCUCUCCUCCUCCUCUUCCUCCUCAAGAUGGACCUCAACUCACUGAACUCUGGUUCACUCUUUUGGUCCCAGAGCUAAUUCUUUGGUUGUUUAAGGUUUAGCAUAGGAGACCCCAAAGCAGCAAGGUUCUGGCCCUGGUUCUGCCACUUGCCAGCUCCACGCCCUCAGAUCAGUGGCUUCAGAGCCUCAACGUGCUCAGCUGUGAAACAGGGACAGGGUGAGGCCUUCCCAGGUAUGAUCCACUGUGCCCAUCCUGGAUGCAGACUUUAAGCAGAGUCACAUCAACAAGAAGAGCUGUGAAGGUCAGGGCAUGACCCACAGAUGCCCAAACACUGCACUGGAGGUCCAGGAAGAUUCUGCUGACAACGCAACCCUGAGCCAAGAUCUGAAGGAUAAGAGGGAGCUUAUAACAUGGAAGAAGGAACAGUAUUCCUGGCAAGUGGAACAGCAUGUGCAAAGGUCAGGUGGUAAGAGGGGCUUCAAGGACAGUCCUAUGGCUGGAGCAGAGUGAUUGAGGGCAUGUGAAAUGAGAGGUGGCCAGGGUGGCAGGCAGGGACUAGCCCAAUGGCCGUGAAAGGGAUGGGACUUUGGUCACUGUUUCGCAUUUCCAGAUGUUUACUAUGUGCCAGGCUUGGUACUAAAUGCUUUUCUGGAAUAUCUCACUAGAUUCUCACAUAGAUGAAGGGCUUGAUCUUAGAGAGGUUAGAUCCCUCAGCCGAGAGCCCACAGUGAGGAAGCCAUGGGGCCUGUGUCCCUGACUGCAAGACCUGUGCUCAGAACGGCCAGGCCACACAGACCUCAACUCUCACUACAACCUCCUGAAGUCGGUGUGGUUACUCUUCCCACUUUACAGAUGAGGACAUGGGCCCAGAGAGGUUAUGUGAGUGACACAGCUUGAAGGUGGAGUUAAGCCUGGGCAGUCUGGCUUCAGAGUGUCCACAGUCUCAACCACUGCCUCACAUGGCUUCUUAGAAAAUAUUAUAAAAAGAAGCUCGGGCUGCCAUGUGGAAAAGAAUGGAGAGGGGACAAUGACACAGCUGGGAGCAUGCUGUGAUGGUGUACAGCGGACACAUUCAGGAUGAGGUGAAACAGGCUGGCCCUGGUGAGAGGCUAGAUGGGGCUGGGAUGAGGGUGGAGACAAGUAGUCUUGGGGUUGGCUUGGUGCAGCUGGGGGGUGCGGGGAGUGUCUCUGAGGUGAGGCCGGGGGUAUGGGAACGCCAUGUUUGGUCUGGGACACGGUGGGCUUGGGAUGGCUACAGGACAGUGCAGUGGAGAGUCAAAAAGGCUGCUCGGACCCAGGUCUGGCGAGAUGGAAGCUGGAGGUCAGGUGAGCUGUCUAGGAGAGGGACAGAGUGGGAAGGAGAGGGUCUCGACUCGGCUUUCUUGCCAAAGGAGGGUUCCGAAAUGAGAAACUGUGGAAUCUAAGCUGGAGAGGAAGAAAGACGGAGAAUGAGUGAACGCACACGUGUGGGACAGAUAGAUGAAUAUUCAUGUCUUUGGCUCCUAUGUACCUGAGUCUUCUAAAGCUGCAGGCCAUACUACCCCCGGGAGGCUGCAGGGAUGCCAGCUGGGAGAUGAAUGCAACUCUGCUGCCUGGGCAUGGGCCUGAGUGAGGGUGCAGACCCCUGCCUGUGAUCAUCAGGGAGGGUGAUGAGAACAAGGUGGCUGACAGGGAGUGAGCAGCUGACAGGGGAGCCACGAACAGCCUGGAGAGCUGAGCAUGGGCCUGCUCCACACUCCAGCGGGGCCCGAGGCCCCCGGGAACUCUACCCCUCCUGGCAGCCUCACAGAACCUGCUGCAUCCAUCUCAAAAGGCAUACCUCCUCCAGGAAGCCUUCCCCGCUGCUCAGAGGUCUUAAAUCCGGGGUCUGCACUCACAAACUGUGCAGCCUACACCAGCUUCUGGGGGACAGCAGAACACUGUGGGGGGCCUGGCACAGUCCCUGGCACACGGUAGGCACUCAUCGAGCCCCUGCCAGCCCCUCUACUCCUGACUUCUGAGGCAACAGGAAAUGACCCGCCACCUUGUUCUCACAGAGCCUCCCUGCCAGCCCAGAUGGUCACAAGGGCCUCCUGGGAUGCUGCCCACCUUGGCAGCCAGGCCCCUCCGGAGGGGCCAGUCUGGGCCUGACACCCCCGAACACCAACCCCCUGGGCAGAGCCUGCCUGUGCCUGGGUGAGGAACCCUGCAGUCUCCUUGCCACACAAGGCCUGGGUCUGCCUUGGGGCCCAGGCUGCACCCUC